Molecule: long non-coding RNA, 545 nt
Organism: Colias croceus (clouded yellow)
Lineage: Eukaryota; Metazoa; Arthropoda; Insecta; Lepidoptera; Pieridae
Exons: 4
Source: RefSeq, a predicted model, not a curated record
UUAUACUCGAGUAAAAUUUGUUUUUUAUUAAUAUUGAUAGAACAAGCAUAAUUUAUUUUAUAAAUGCAAUGAUUGUUAAACUUUUGUUAAAAUGAUGAUCAAAACACAGACCUGUUCUGAUAUAAAUGAGGACAACUAUAAUAUUUUUCCUGAUUACUUUGUAAAACAUGUUAUUUCUUACCUGUAGAAUGUGAUACACAUACUAAUAAUAAUUUUAUUUUGUUUUAGGUACAACAUUGUUGGAUAAUCAAUAAUAAUCAUAUACAAAAGAUUCACAAAUCUUGGUCUUUAAAUUUAUAAGAAUCGGGAUAAUUCCAAAUAAUAAGAAAGGGGAUAUUUCCCUUGAAAUUAUUGUAAAGUGAAGAAAGAAGAAACAAAUUAAUGAAAAUAAUAUUGGGUUACAACUAAACCAUCGCCUUCGGCAGUGUUGACACUCUCGAAUAAAUAUGAUGUACGUGAACAAGACGAGAACGCGACCUACAACCUACAACACCUACAAAAAUUCAAUGGAUUUUUAAAGAAAUAAAAGAAAUAUUUUUCUAUAA